GAGAUGAACAAGAUGUUUGAUUACAAGAACCGUCUCGACAAGAAAGACUUAGUCAUGCUGCCAGUGCUCGAGUGCGCAGAUGUAACCGAUAAGGACGGAGGGAGGCAUUAUUGGGUCUUCAGUGUCAACUUGAGGGACGGACGCUUCGAAGUUCUUGAUUCAAGCAGGACGCUAGAGAACAUUGAGCUGAUGAACAACGCCUCUACCAUUGCGGGGGCAGUACGCCAGCUAUGGAGGAAGCAUUACCCAAAGUUCAGCAUCGAGCACUUCCAGAUUAUUGACAUUGACGUACCGAAGCAGCUUGGCAAUAAUGAGUGUGGGUUGUUCGCACUGCUUAACGCCACCGAGUGGAAUGGUAGCCAACUGCCCAACUACGACCCCAAGGAAGUACUCAACAUCAGGAAGA
This 406-nucleotide ribosomal RNA is filed under the name Triticum aestivum (bread wheat). RNAcentral's name for it is "partial small subunit ribosomal RNA". The record is from RNAcentral. Lineage: Eukaryota; Viridiplantae; Streptophyta; Magnoliopsida; Poales; Poaceae.